CUGUGAGAAGCACAAACCACACAGACUACAUAUAAAUGCUCAAUCAGUAGCCCCAGAAGAACUCCCAGUCCUCAGUGAACAUUGACUGGUGGCCAUAUGAUUUGUCAUCUCGGACAUCCAGCCCAGUUCAGCUUUCAGGCCCUGUGCUAUGCUCUGGGGACGCACGACACUUAAGAGACGGUUCCUCCCCUGUGAUCAUGAGGGGCUCAUGAACCAGCAGGGGAGACAGACAGGUAAACAGGAAGUAUGGCUAGGGGGUAAGUACCAUAGUAGAGGGCGACAUGGGAGUGCAGAGGAGGGGCUCCAACUCUGGCAUCAACCUACUCCACCUUGGGAAAAAGUUCUAAACAGGGAAGCGAGUGAGUCAUGAGCUGCAUCUGGAAAAAGGGAUAGGCUUGGGAUUGACCUAGUGAACUGUAGGCAAAAGCCACCGACCAGAGGCACCGAAGGACAGGGCCACACUGGCAUCUAGGGGCCAUAGACUGGCACACUCUCAGGCAGCCCUGGAAUCUGGUGAGUCUGUUCCACAACUCCCAUGGGGCCUGCAGAGCAAGUGUCUCU
RNAcentral lists this long non-coding RNA (561 nucleotides) under Homo sapiens (human). Its description in RNAcentral is "HSALNT0140770". Lineage: Eukaryota; Metazoa; Chordata; Mammalia; Primates; Hominidae. The record is from RNAcentral.